CCUGGGGGAGUAGGUGAAGGAGCAGAUUCAGCCCCAUGUUGUCCCCAGAGUCACGGCUCGGGGCCUGAACUGUGGGCAGGCCUCCCGGCCACCAAUUGGACACAAGCAGCAAUUCUGUGUUGGAAGGGGGCUGCUCUGGAAGUGUUGGGGGAAAGCAGGCCCGCAUCUCCUCUCCACCUGGCAGUUUUCAAUAUCUUUCCUCGCCUGCGUCGCUGGCAUUACCCCUUCAUAUCAGACGGCAUGGAAUUUAAAGGCCUCGGUCCCAACCCGCUCUUUCGCAUCAAAGACCCAUAAAUGGAAGAGGCUACAUUCAAACUGCAGGCUCCAGUGGCAGACUGUCUGACUGGAAAGGUCAGCUUGAAAGAUACAUUUUUGCAAUGUCUUCACAAUGACUAAGAAAUCCAUACCCAGCGGGGAGCACCAACAUUCAAAUUCAGCCUGCAGUUGUCACAGGUGACAUUCAAUAAGUUUAAUUGCUUUUGUUUAAAAAUGGAGAUUUCAGGGAGAUAUACUUGCUUCACCCGCUUCACCAAAGUGCAGUCACUAGAAUCUUCCUCCUGAAGACCACGUUUAUACACUGAUAUUAUAACACAAGUCUGCUCUUUGCUAGGAUCAGUAUUCCACCCAGGAUUCCUCUGCCUGGAGGAGAACUCCUUGUGAAGCACAGCCUAAUUUUGAGGAGCAUAGCCUAGUGGAAAGAGCAUGGGCUUGGGAGUCAAGGGACCUGGGUUCUAAUUCCACUCUGCCAUUUGCCUGCUGUGUGAUCUUUGGGGAAGUCACUUAAUUUCUCAGAUCAGUUUCCUCGUCUGUAAAAUGGGGAUUAAAUACCUGUUAUCCCUCCUAC
RNAcentral lists this long non-coding RNA (844 nucleotides) under Ornithorhynchus anatinus (platypus). RNAcentral's name for it is "lncRNA (ENSOANG00000033715.2)". Lineage: Eukaryota; Metazoa; Chordata; Mammalia; Monotremata; Ornithorhynchidae. The record is from RNAcentral.